UCCCUAGCAGUCCAGUGGUUAGGACUUGGCACUUCCACUGGCAGGGCCUGGGUUCAAUCCCUGGUCAGGGAA
Molecule: transfer RNA, 72 nt
Filed under: Bos indicus (zebu cattle)
Lineage: Eukaryota; Metazoa; Chordata; Mammalia; Artiodactyla; Bovidae
Also listed under: 3 other names
Rfam family: tRNA
About the family: Transfer RNA (tRNA) molecules are approximately 80 nucleotides in length. Their secondary structure includes four short double-helical elements and three loops (D, anti-codon, and T loops).
Source: Rfam by way of RNAcentral